This 301-nucleotide ribosomal RNA is filed under the name uncultured bacterium. RNAcentral's name for it is "partial 16S ribosomal RNA". It matches the Rfam family "Bacterial small subunit ribosomal RNA", at positions 509 to 809 of the family's 1533-position model. The record is from RNAcentral.
CAGUAGCCGCGGUAAUACAGAGGGUGCGAGCGUUAAUCGGAUUUACUGGGCGUAAAGCGUGCGUAGGCGGCUAAUUGAGUCGGAUGUGAAAUCCCCGAGCUUAACUUGGGAAUUGCAUCCGAUACUGGUUAGCUAGAGUGUGGGAGAGGAUGGUAGAAUUCCAGGUGUAGCGGUGAAAUGCGUAGAGAUCUGGAGGAAUACCGAUGGCGAAGGCAGCCAUCUGGCCUAACACUGACGCUGAGGUACGAAAGCAUGGGGAGCAAACAGGAUUAGAUACCCCAGUAGUCCCUGUCUCUUAUAA